CCUACGGGAGGCUGCAGUAGGGAAUAUUGCUCAAUGGGGGAAACCCUGAAGCAGCAACGCCGCGUGGAGGAUGAAGGUUUUCGGAUUGUAAACUCCUUUUGUCAGAGAAGAUAAUGACGGUAUCUAACGAAUAAGCACCGGCUAACUCCGUGCCAGCAGCCGCGGUAAUACGGAGGGUGCAAGCGUUAUUCGGAAUUACUGGGCGUAAAGAGCGCGUAGGCGGGUAAGCAAGUCAGAUGUGAAAUCCUAUGGCUUAACCAUAGAACUGCAUUUGAAACUGUUAUUCUAGAGUAUGGGAGAGGUAGGUGGAAUUCUUGGUGUAGGGGUAAAAUGCGUAGAGAUCAAGAGGAAUACUCAUUGCGAAGGCGACCUGCUAGAACGUAACUGACGCUGAUGCGCGAAAGCGUGGGGAGCAAACAGGAUUAGAUACCCGAGUAGUC
RNAcentral lists this ribosomal RNA (440 nucleotides) under uncultured bacterium. RNAcentral describes it as "partial 16S ribosomal RNA". It matches the Rfam family "Bacterial small subunit ribosomal RNA", at positions 338 to 795 of the family's 1533-position model. The record is from RNAcentral.